RNAcentral lists this long non-coding RNA (1869 nucleotides) under Pan troglodytes (chimpanzee). RNAcentral's name for it is "lincRNA". Lineage: Eukaryota; Metazoa; Chordata; Mammalia; Primates; Hominidae. The record is from RNAcentral.
CAGAGGACACCAUUGCCUGGAGAUGACAGAAGGCCGAGGAUGGAGAGAGGCACUGAUAGAGGCCAGACCAGACAAGCAGUGCCAAGUCCAUAGUGGGACACCAAAGGGAGGAGGCAAUCCCAGAUGAGGUCCAUCCCAGAACCAGACCUUGCAGGGACCUCAAGGAGCUAUGAACAUAGAAACCCUAUACACGAUAUCACUUGAAUCCCUCCACAGGGGCUUCUGAUAUUGUCUUAGACCUUCAGAAAGUUCAGGGGUAGUAGCCUCUGGGCCCAUAGUGCUCCCCUGAUGAUGCAGCCCCACCCUCGACUCUUGCCACUGCAGAUGCUCCUUGGGCAGUUUCAUCUGGGCCUUUCACAUCAGCUCCCUCCAAAUGUGACUGGACCUCAAAUGGAUCUUCAGACCCCCAUGCCCAACCACCUCCCAGCUACCUUCCCUGGACAACCCACAGGUCACAUGAUCACCAGGAAGCCCAUGUCUCUGCAUGAUAACCUGGAGAAACCUACAGAUGCCAGGCUUCUGAAUCUCAUUCACCGUGCUUCCCAGGGAUCAAGGAAGAAAUACCCAGAGAUACAGACUGAAAAAUCAGGAAACUGGAUGGGAUUCAGAGCCCUUGGAGCGGAGCCUUCUCAUUCAUUCACCCAACUCCAGUCUAAAACGUGCAGCUCUGAAGCCGGGCUGCUUCAUAGAGACUUGAGUAAAUAGCACAGUAAAGCCCAGGUUUUACCAGUGAGGAGGAGGGUAAAUACACUGAUCAUUUGCAAGAGCACCUCUUCAGAUAUGGCACCUCUCCUUGGAGAGAGGAGACUAUGGAAGACCGGGAGACAAUUCUAGCUGAAGCUCACACCACUUACACAACAAAAGAUCUAAGUCUAAAAGGGAGAGAGUAAAGACCUGGCUCACAUGGGUGUGAAGUGUACGUGUGGAAACAUUGCAUGUUUAACAUUUCACAACAUCUUGUAGCAGGCUUACUACGGCGGGAAGGACAAGUGUGGCUGGCCCAGCCAGUGCUGUCCUGCUCAGACCUUCCUAGGCUUUGCAAUGCUGGGAUAAUAGGGAAGCCACACUCAAUGAGCAUUUCUCAGCCUCACAUCUCCUGGUCAACCCAGAAUGCCACAACCACAGGCUGAACCACAGAUCUGGAGGCUGGGAAAUCCAAGAGCAUGGCACUGGCAUCAGGCAAGGGUCAGCCCAUGCUGGAGGGCAGAAGGCAGAAGUGAGCAUGUGAGACAGAGAUAAGAAAUUAGGCUGAACUUGCUUGUAUAGCAAACCCAGCCUCUCAAUAACUAACCCACUCCGGCAAUAAUGGCAUUAAUCCAUUCAUGAGGGCAGAGCCCCCAUGACCUAAUCACAUCCUAAAGGCCCCACAUCAAUCAUAUCUCAACAUGAGGUUCAGAGGACACAAACAUUCAAACCAUAGCAGUCGGUAGAGAGCAUCAACAUAUAUUGUGGAGCAGGAAAACAAACGUCCAGAGAGAAUGUCUAUGAUGGUACCCAAUGAGUCUAGGACCAGGAUUCUUAUGCUAUGGUCACUCAUAUUUUUGAGUUUCAUCAAAUGAAUGUCCUCCACAUCACCAGCAAGCAGCUUCCACCUUCUGGAUCUUCAGAAUGGUCUUAAAGAUGAGGGAUGGAGGCCAGGCACGCUGGCUUAUGACUGUAAUCCCAGCAGGAAGCUGGGAGCCCAAGGCAGGAAGAUUGCUUGAGGCUAAGAGUUCAAGAUCAGUUUGGGCAACACAGCAAAAACUAUCUCUACAAAAACUAAAACUAAAAAUAAAUCACCUGAGCAUGGUGGUGCAUGCCUAUAGGCUGAGGUGGCUGAGGUGGAAGGAUUGCUUAAGCCCAGGAAGUUGAGACCACAGACAGCCAUGA